RNAcentral lists this ribosomal RNA (484 nucleotides) under uncultured bacterium. Its description in RNAcentral is "partial 16S ribosomal RNA". It matches the Rfam family "Bacterial small subunit ribosomal RNA", at positions 30 to 507 of the family's 1533-position model. The record is from RNAcentral.
AUUGAACGCUGGCGGCAGGCCUAACACAUGCAAGUCGAGCGGAUGAAGGGAGCUUGCCCCUGGAUUCAGCGGCGGACGGGGGAGUAAUGCCUAGGAAUCUGCCUGGUAGUGGGGGAUAACGUCCGGAAACGGGCGCUAAUACCGCAUACGUCCUGAGGGAGAAAGAGGGGGAUCUGCGGACCUCACGCUAUCAGAGGAGGCUAGGUCGGAUUAGCUAGUUGGUGGGGUAAAGGCCUACCAAGGCGACGAUCCGUAACUGGUCUGAGGGGAUGAUCAGUCACACUGGAACUGAGACACGGUCCAGACUCCUACGGGAGGCAGCAGUGGGGAAUAUUGGACAAUGGGCGAAAGCCUGAUCCAGCCAUGCCGCGUGUGUGAAGAAGGUCUUCGGAUUGUAAAGCACUUUAAGUUGGGAGGAAGGGCAGUAAGUUAAUACCUUGCUGUUUUGACGUUACCAACAGAAUAAGCACCGGCUAACUUCGUG